This is a long non-coding RNA of Anguilla anguilla (European eel), 1214 nucleotides long. RefSeq lists it as uncharacterized. Lineage: Eukaryota; Metazoa; Chordata; Actinopteri; Anguilliformes; Anguillidae. The transcript is spliced from 4 exons. The record is from RefSeq and is a predicted model, not a curated record.
GAAAACAUGACAGAUGACAGAAUGCACAAAUAGCCACACUGAUUACUUUCAACUUUUGCAAAGCGUUUUAGUGGAUUAUUUUGAUCACUGUUGAGUUAAUACAAAAUUACAUGUAGCCUACUGUGAAUGGCUAUCAUUUCUGUCACACUACCUAUAGCUCAAUAGACCGCUCACUUAAUUGGGGUGAUUACUGUGUUGUACUGUUGGUACUUCUGUGGAUCUUUAUCGAUGUUUUGAGAGGAUUUUUGCUGGAGUAGGGCUACAAGUAAUCAUAACUGAAUCCAUCACGUAAGAAAAAACGGAUUUGGAAUUUUGGGGCGACAUCCCAUUUUGCUUGAAGCGAUAAGUGACUUCUCAGCGGAGCGGUGGAGGGGGCGGACGCCACGGUCUGUCGAGCAAGGAGCGGGAUUUAAUAUCGCUUAGUUCCGCUCGUGCACUCGGAUUGUACAUGUUUUGUUAUUUCAUGGUAUAAUGUUUUUGUGACCAGGUAGGAACCUUAUUCAUCAUUAGCGUUCCCAGAGGGACCGUAAAUUCGGUUGGUACAGGUACACGUAUAGGUGUUGUUUAUAGACACGCCCCAGACACGCCCCAAACACACAGGUCUUCGUUCCCACCGGGCUGGUUCACACCGAUGGCGCCUUUGUGAUUUAAAAAAAAAAAAAAAAAAAAAAAAAAAACUAUUGGUAAGUAAGUGCAGUGUUUUAAAUUCACUUGUAAAUUUUACGUGGUAAAAAGCAUUCGUUUUUUUCGCCCUAGACGGCGAUGCUUUGCUGCAGUAGCAGGGGAAAAGGCAUUCCAGGGGUUACCGGGUGCAGACUAAACAAAAACAAAACAAAAAACAAAACAGAUCCGAUAAGAGAUUGUUCCUGCUGUCUACAACUCUGCAGCAGGACAUCAGCAGCAGAGUUUCAAGAGGAGCUCCAGACUCUUAAAGCGAGGCUGCAGAUGGAGAAGGAUCAGAGGAUCAAAGCUUAAAGAUGAAAAUGAGAGUAGCCUCGCAUUAAAUUGAGCUACAUGGCCACGGAAGGGUGUCACCUGUUGGCAUCGGAAGGAAGCCUGUGAAUGAGGAUCUGUGUUCCUGAGGUUUGUACAGCCGCCGACGUUGCAGAAUAGACUGUUCUGCUACGACGUUAUUUUGUGGUUGGGGUACUUUCAGCAUCCUCUUUCUUCGUUGUUACUGCGUCCAUCAUAUAUAUGCUCUCGCGGCCCAGGGA